This 247-nucleotide ribosomal RNA is filed under the name uncultured bacterium. RNAcentral describes it as "partial 16S ribosomal RNA". It matches the Rfam family "Bacterial small subunit ribosomal RNA", at positions 524 to 769 of the family's 1533-position model. The record is from RNAcentral.
UACGUAGGGUGCAAGCGUUAAUCGGAAUUACUGGGCGUAAAGCGUGCGCAGGCGGUGAUGUAAGACAGAUGUGAAAUCCCCGGGCUCAACCUGGGAACUGCAUUUGUGACUGCAUCGCUGGAGUACGGCAGAGGGGGAUGGAAUUCCGCGUGUAGCAGUGAAAUGCGUAGAUAUGCGGAGGAACACCGAUGGCGAAGGCAAUCCCCUGGGCCUGUAACUGACGCUCCAUGCACGAAAGCGUGGGAGC